GCCAGGCAAGGUGGUGCAUGUCUGUAAUCCCAUCUACCCAGGAGGCUGAGGAAGGAGGAUUGCAAGUUAGAAGCUAGCUUGGGCAACUUAGUGAGAUCUUUUCUUAA
Molecule: small RNA, 107 nt
Filed under: Marmota monax (woodchuck)
Lineage: Eukaryota; Metazoa; Chordata; Mammalia; Rodentia; Sciuridae
Source: RNAcentral